GAGGGUAUAGCCCAGUGGUAGAGCGUAUGCUUAGCAUGCAUGAAGUCCUGGGCAUGCAUGAGGUUGUGGGUUCAAUCCCCAGUACCUCCA
Molecule: transfer RNA, 90 nt
Filed under: Camelus dromedarius (Arabian camel)
Lineage: Eukaryota; Metazoa; Chordata; Mammalia; Artiodactyla; Camelidae
Also listed under: 1 other name
Rfam family: tRNA
About the family: Transfer RNA (tRNA) molecules are approximately 80 nucleotides in length. Their secondary structure includes four short double-helical elements and three loops (D, anti-codon, and T loops).
Source: Rfam by way of RNAcentral